Molecule: ribosomal RNA, 492 nt
Filed under: uncultured bacterium
Lineage: Bacteria
Description: bacterial SSU rRNA
Rfam family: Bacterial small subunit ribosomal RNA
Source: RNAcentral
UUAUGGCUCAGGAUGAACGCUGGCGGCGUGCUUAACACAUGCAAGUCGAACGGGAAUUACAUUUAGCUUGCUAAGUUGUAAUCUAGUGGCGGACGGGUGAGUAACGCGUGGGUAACCUGCCUUAUACCGGGGGACAACAGUUGGAAACGGCUGCUAAUACCGCAUAAGCGCACAGUUUCGCAUGAGACAGUGUGAAAAAACUCCGGUGGUAUAAGAUGGACCCGCGUCUGAUUAGCCAGUUGGCGGUGUAACGGACCACCAAAGCGACGAUCAGUAGCCGGCCUGAGAGGGUGAACGGCCACAUUGGGACUGAGACACGGCCCAAACUCCUACGGGAGGCAGCAGUGGGGAAUAUUGCACAAUGGAGGAAACUCUGAUGCCAGCGACGCCGCGUGAGUGAAGAAGUAUUUCGGUAUGUAAAGCUCUAUCAGCAGGAAAGAAAAUGACGGUACCUGACUAAGAAGCCCCGGCUAACUACGUGCCAGCAGCGGC